This 85-nucleotide transfer RNA is filed under the name Felis catus (domestic cat). It matches the Rfam family "tRNA". From Rfam's summary of the family: Transfer RNA (tRNA) molecules are approximately 80 nucleotides in length. Their secondary structure includes four short double-helical elements and three loops (D, anti-codon, and T loops). Lineage: Eukaryota; Metazoa; Chordata; Mammalia; Carnivora; Felidae. The record is from Rfam by way of RNAcentral. RNAcentral also lists the same sequence under 1 other name.
GCCUGGGUGGCUCAGUCGGUUGAGUGUCUGACUUCGGCUCAGGUCAUGAUCUCGCUGUUUGUGAGUUCGAGCCCCGCGUCGGGCU